Molecule: ribosomal RNA, 486 nt
Filed under: uncultured bacterium
Lineage: Bacteria
Description: bacterial SSU rRNA
Rfam family: Bacterial small subunit ribosomal RNA
Source: RNAcentral
GCAGCAGUUAGGAAUCUUCCACAAUGGGCGAAAGCCUGAUGGAGCGACACCGCGUGAAGGAUGAAGGCCCUAGGGUCGUAAACUUCUAAAAGAGGGACGAUAAUGACGGUACCUCUUGAGAAGCACCGGCUAACUCCGUGCCAGCAGCCGCGGUAAUACGGAGGGUGCAAGCGUUAUCCGGAAUCACUGGGCGUAAAGGGCGCGUAGGUGGUCUGUUAAGUCUGGCGUUAAAGCCUGGGGCUCAACCCCAGAUCAGCGUUGGAUACUGGCAGGCUAGACGGUUGGAGAGGCGAGUGGAAUUACCAGUGUAGCGGUGGAAUGCGUAGAUACUGGUAGGAACACCCAUUGCGAAGGCAGCUCGCUGGACAACACGUGACACUGAGGCGCGAAAGUGUGGGGAGCAAACCGGAUUAGAUACCCGGGUAGUCCACACCCUAAACGAUGCAUACUUGGUAUUGGCCCGUUGGGGUCAGUGCCGGAGCUAAC